UACGUAGGUGGCGAGCGUUAUCCGGAAUUAUUGGGCGUAAAGAGGGAGCAGGCGGCACUAAAGGUCUGUGGUGAAAGCCCGAAGCUUAACUUCGGUAAGCCAUGGAAACCGUAGAGCUAGAGUGUGUGAGAGGAUCGUGGAAUUCCAUGUGUAGCGGUGAAAUGCGUAGAUAUAUGGAGGAACACCAGUGGCGAAGGCGACGAUCUGGCGCACAACUGACGCUCAGUCCCGAAAGCGUGGGGAGCAAA
Molecule: ribosomal RNA, 248 nt
Filed under: uncultured Erysipelotrichaceae bacterium
Lineage: Bacteria; Bacillati; Bacillota; Erysipelotrichia; Erysipelotrichales; Erysipelotrichaceae
Description: partial 16S ribosomal RNA
Rfam family: Bacterial small subunit ribosomal RNA
Source: RNAcentral